AAUCGUAUCGGCGAUUUAAAAAAGUGUAUUAAGCCGAUAGCGUCCCGACUUAGUCGGGGGUUACA
This 65-nucleotide ribozyme is filed under the name unclassified sequences. Its description in RNAcentral is "pistol ribozyme". It matches the Rfam family "Pistol ribozyme". The record is from RNAcentral.